Molecule: RNase P RNA, 232 nt
Filed under: Pseudomonas sp. HMWF010
Lineage: Bacteria; Pseudomonadati; Pseudomonadota; Gammaproteobacteria; Pseudomonadales; Pseudomonadaceae
Description: partial RNase P RNA component class A
Rfam family: Bacterial RNase P class A
About the family: Ribonuclease P (RNase P) is a ubiquitous endoribonuclease, found in archaea, bacteria and eukarya as well as chloroplasts and mitochondria. Its best characterised activity is the generation of mature 5'-ends of tRNAs by cleaving the 5'-leader elements of precursor-tRNAs.
Source: RNAcentral
CCAGACGGUCGGGCGGUCGCGGUCCUCGCAAGAGGGUCGAGGAAAGUCCGGGCUCCACGGUGACAAGGCGGUGGGUAACGCCCACCGGGAGCGAUCCCAGGGAUAGCGCCACAGAAAGCAAACCUCCUCCCUACGGGGCGGGAAGGGUGAAAGGGUGGGGUAAGAGCCCACCGCGGACCUGGCGACAGGGACGGCAUGGCAAGCCCCGCCUGGAGCAAGACCGAAUAGGGAC